GACGAACGCUGGCGGCGUGCUUAACACAUGCAAGUCGAACGGGAUUUAGUAGACAGAAGCCUCGGCUAAAGAUUACUAAUGAGAGUGGCGAACGGGUGAGUAACGCGUGAGCAACCUGCCUAUGACAGUGGGAUAGCCUCGGGGAACCGGGAUUAAUACCGCAUAAAAUCGUAGAAACACAUGUUUCAACGGUCAAAGAUUUAUCGGUCAUAGAUGGGCUCGCGUCUGAUUAGCUAGUUGGUGAGAUAACAGCCCACCAAGGCGACGAUCAGUAGCCGGUCUGAGAGGAUGAACGGCCACAUUGGAACUGAGACACGGUCCAAACUCCUACGGGAGGCAGCAGUGGGGAAUAUUGCACAAUGGGGGAAACCCUGAUGCAGCGACGCCGCGUGAACGAAGAAGGUAUUCGUAUCGUAAAGUUCUGUCCUAUGGGAAGAUAAUGACAGUACCAUAGAAGAAAGCUCCGGCUAAAUACGUG
Molecule: ribosomal RNA, 478 nt
Filed under: uncultured bacterium
Lineage: Bacteria
Description: partial 16S ribosomal RNA
Rfam family: Bacterial small subunit ribosomal RNA
Source: RNAcentral